Molecule: ribosomal RNA, 253 nt
Filed under: uncultured bacterium
Lineage: Bacteria
Description: partial 16S ribosomal RNA
Rfam family: Bacterial small subunit ribosomal RNA
Source: RNAcentral
UACGGAGGGUGCAAGCGUUGUCCGGAAUUAUUGGGUGUAAAGGGUGUGCAGGCGGGGCUGUAAGUCAGGGGUGAAAGCCUACGGCUCAACCGUAGAAUUGCCUUUGAUACUGCAGUCCUUGAGUCCCGGAGAGGCCACUAGAAUUCGUGGUGUAGCGGUGAAAUGCGUAGAUAUCACGAGGAAUACCAGAAGCGUAGGCGGGUGGCUGGACGGGUACCGACGCUGAGGCACGAAAGCGUGGGGAGCAAACAGG